CAGCCGCCACGGUAAUACGUGGGGUGCAAGCGUUAAUCGGAAUUACUGGGCGUAAAGCGUGCGCAGGCGGUUUGUUAAGACAGAUGUGAAAUCCCCGGGCUUAACCUGGGAACUGCAUUUGUGACUGGCAAGCUAGAGUCUGGCAGAGGGGGGUGGAAUUCCGCGUGUAGCAGUGAAAUGCGUAGAUAUGCGGAGGAACACCGAUGGCGAAGGCAGCCCCCUGGGCCAACACUGACGCUCAUGCACGAAAGCGUGGGGAGCAAACAGGAUUAGAUACCCCCGUAGUCCCUGUCUCUUAUAC
RNAcentral lists this ribosomal RNA (301 nucleotides) under uncultured bacterium. Its description in RNAcentral is "partial 16S ribosomal RNA". It matches the Rfam family "Bacterial small subunit ribosomal RNA", at positions 509 to 807 of the family's 1533-position model. The record is from RNAcentral.